This 137-nucleotide non-coding RNA is filed under the name Platyophrya macrostoma. Lineage: Eukaryota; Ciliophora; Colpodea; Cyrtolophosidida; Platyophryidae. The record is from RNAcentral.
CACACACACCUUUUCGAAAGAAUACCAAUGAAACAAGAAGAAAUGAAGAAUGAAGAGAAGACGAAUGCGUGUGGUCUACUCUUACGGUUUUUUCGGGGGGUUGUCGUUGCUUUGCAUGUUUUAUAUGUUUUCCAGUU